This 261-nucleotide ribosomal RNA is filed under the name uncultured Spirochaeta sp. RNAcentral's name for it is "partial 16S ribosomal RNA". It matches the Rfam family "Bacterial small subunit ribosomal RNA", at positions 1123 to 1382 of the family's 1533-position model. The record is from RNAcentral. Lineage: Bacteria; Pseudomonadati; Spirochaetota; Spirochaetia; Spirochaetales; Spirochaetaceae.
AAGUGAUGUUGGGGACUCAGGAUGGAACUGCCGGUGACAAACGGAGGAAGGUGGGGACGACGUCAAGUCAUCAUGGCCCUUAUGUCCUGGGCUACACACGUGCUACAAUGGCCGGUACAGAGCGCGAGCUAGGCCGCGAGGCGGAGCGAAUCGCGAAAAGCCGGUCUCAGUACGGAUUGGAGUCUGAAACCCGACUCCAUGAAGUUGGAAUCGCUAGUAAUCGCGCAUCAGCAUGGCGCGGUGAAUACGUUCCCGGGCCUU